This 1325-nucleotide ribosomal RNA is filed under the name marine metagenome. RNAcentral describes it as "bacterial SSU rRNA". It matches the Rfam family "Bacterial small subunit ribosomal RNA", at positions 150 to 1520 of the family's 1533-position model. The record is from RNAcentral.
GAGGAAACUUGUGCUAAUACCGGAUAAGUCUUUACGGAGAAAGCUUUAUGCACCAUUGGAUGAGCCUGCACUUGAUUAGUUUGUUGGUGGGGUAAUGGCCUACCAAGACUUUGAUCAAUAGCUGAUUUGAGAGGAUGAUCAGCCACAUUGGGACUGAGACACGGCCCAAACUCCUACGGGAGGCAGCAGUGGGGAAUCUUGCACAAUGGAGGAAACUCUGAUGCAGCGAUGCCGCGUGAGUGAAGAAGGCCCUUGGGUUGUAAAGCUCUUUCGUCGGGGAAGAAAAUGACUGUACCCGAAUAAGAAGGUCCGGCUAACUUCGUGCCAGCAGCCGCGGUAAUACGAAGGGACCUAGCGUAGUUCGGAAUUACUGGGCUUAAAGAGUUCGUAGGUGGUUGAAAAAGUUGGUGGUGAAAUCCCAGAGCUUAACUCUGGAACUGCCAUCAAAACUUUUCAGCUAGAGUUUGAUAGAGGAAAGCAGAAUUUCUAGUGUAGAGGUGAAAUUCGUAGAUAUUAGAAAGAAUACCAAUUGCGAAGGCAGCUUUCUGGAUCAUUACUGACACUGAGGAACGAAAGCAUGGGUAGCGAAGAGGAUUAGAUACCCUCGUAGUCCAUGCCGUAAACGAUGUGUGUUAGACGUUGGAAAUUUAUUUUCAGUGUCGCAGCGAAAGCGAUAAACACACCGCCUGGGGAGUACGACCGCAAGGUUAAAACUCAAAUGAAUUGACGGGGACCCGCACAAGUAGUGGAGCAUGUGGUUUAAUUCGAAGAUACGCGCAGAACCUUACCAACACUUGACAUGUUCGUCGCGACUCUAAGAGAUUAGAGUUUUCGGUUCGGCCGGACGAAACACAGGUGCUGCAUGGCUGUCGUCAGCUCGUGUCGUGAGAUGUUGGGUUAAGUCCCGCAACGAGCGCAACCCUCACUUUUAGUUGCCAUCAUUAAGUUGGGCACUCUGAAAGAACUGCCAGUGAUAAGCUGGAGGAAGGUGGGGAUGACGUCAAGUCCUCAUGGCCCUUACGUGUUGGGCUACACACGUGCUACAAUGGUAUCUACAACAGGAAGCAAAACUGCGAAGUUAAGCAAAUCCUUAAAAGAUACCUCAGUUCGGAUUGCACUCUGCAACUCGAGUGCAUGAAGCUGGAAUUACUAGUAAUCGUGGAUCAGCGUGCCACGGUGAAUGCGUUCCCGGGUCUUGUACACACCGCCCGUCACACCAUGGGAGUUGGUUCUACCUUAAGGCAAGGUUUUAAACCCUUGACCACGGUAUAGUCAGCGACUGGGGUGAAGUCGUAACAAGGUAGCCGUAGGGGAACCUGCGGCUG